UGAUGUCAUCAGUGGAGGGAGGUUGGGGGCCAGAGAGUGGGGCUUGUGAUGGGAGAAACUGAGCAAAGUCUUCGGUGAGAUCCUCAGAGGUCCCCCAUGAAGAAAUGGCAUCAAUUUUUCCACCUCUUGAAUGUGGAUUGGCCUUGUGACAUGCUUUGGCCAAUAGAAUUUGGUGAAAGUAACUACGUACAAGUCCAAGUCAAAGCCUUGAGCACUUCUUCCUUCUCUUGGAACCCUGCCACAGCUGUGAGAAUAGUCUGCUGAAGGCCGAGAUACCACGUGGAAGAGCUUAGUUAUUUCAGCCAAGAUCAUUCUAAGCAAGCCUGUAGCCACCUGAACAUCAAAAACUGAGCCACAGCUGACACAGAUGUAUAUUUGCACCAGGUUGAGUUGCUGGUUGGUCUAUGCUGGAGGUACCUCUGGGAGCACCAAGACACUACUAACCAAUCACAUUGAGAGCAACUGGAACCUCUCUCCAGGCAUGAGAAAACAGUAAGAAAGGCACCACCCAUGGCUAGAAACGUGAACAUAUUAGAAGAUCCCAUACAAGCAACCUCAAAAAAAGUCCCAGGAGGGCCAUGCUGGGCUUCAGUGUCCGCCUUGACUAGCUGAUGCUUCACGGAACUUUACCACUCUCCAAGCCACAUCUAAGAAGAGCCUUCUACACACCAAGCUUACUGAACUAGAGGUUUGGUCCAUCUCUCAGAGGAACUGGCUGGUACAAGAUUGUCUGGCAAGGUGUCGAAGGAGCUGGCCAGUUAGGCACUAUCACCAAGCUCCCUGGACAUGAAGAUGUUGGUUGUGUUUGGAAAAGGUUCUGAGAAUGCAGUGGUGGAUUGGACUCACUCUCUGCCAUGUGAGGACACGGAGAGAAGAUGGCCCUCUAUGAACCAGGCAGCAGGCCCUCACUAGACACUGAGUCAGCUGGCACCUUGAUCUUGAACUUCCCAGCCUCCAAAACUUGACCUACAGUAUCACUCCGUGUUGUACAGAUAUUUGAUCAUUAAACUUCUACCUCACCCAACCGAAGAAUCUCUGACACAGAUCUUACUUUCAGGAGCCCUGUUUGAGCAACUCUAAGCUGAGAUGAGAACAGUCUUGCUGCAAAUGAACUUCGUCUCUGAGCUCUUUUUGUUGAUGUCUAGAGUGAGAGUUUCUAGAAUCUAUCUGUGGGAUCUAUAUUAAGUUAUAGUUUGUAUCAAAUGGCAUGAUAGUCUUUACCAAGCAAGAGGGCAGUGGAGUGUUUUUGUGGUUCUUUAUGGGCACUGAAAUAUUUACUAACCAUGUUGGUUUUAUUAAGUAAUUGGAGAUACAGACAAAUCAACACCUCGGGGAAAUCUACCUGACUCAAAACAUUUCAGUCAGUUUCCUGGUCACUGCUGAGCCGAAGAAUUCAUCGGGAGUGAAUGCCAGAGUUGAGGGUUGUUCUGAAGACCCUGAACCCAGCAGGAAACAGCCUGGAGAGCCAUGUACAACUGGGCAGAGAGGAAAUGACAGGAGACAGGUUGGGUUGACUGUCUUAGGCAAGAACAUAUUGGAACGGCGUUGAACAACGUGAAGAGGGAAUCACAGAUAUUCAAAGGAUAUUAAGACCUUUUUCCUUCCCCUGUAUCUCUAAAUUUCAAAGUAAAAAAACAAAACAAAACCUAAUUUUUUUGUAAAGUUUGUAAAACUUGAAAUUAGGCACUUUGGGUUGGAAAAGGGUUAUAAAUCAGACACAUUGAAAAAUACCUCUACUAAACAUUGAACAUAACUACAUUUGAUAAACCUCUCCUUGCCUAAAACUUCAACUACUACUUUUUGAGGGUUAAAUAUAUAAAGUUUGGAUCAACUUUUUUUUUAUGUUAAAUAUCCCUGAUAUUGAAAGUAAUUCUAGCAUUUUCUAGUGUUGCUAGAUGAAAUACAGGAUGCCCAGUUAAAUAUGAGUUUCAAAUAAACAACAAAUUUUUAAAAUAUAAAUGUCCCAUGCUGAUAAAUAUUCAUAUAAAAUGAAGGAAUUUUCCUUUUAGAGAUAAGCAGACAGGAAACUAAGUAAUUGUGUGUCUGCUGUGGAAGUAAAAGUUCUAGCUGCCAAGGGUCAGCCUUAAUUCUUGUUUCAAGCAAACACAUCUUUCCUUUGCAGUCUGUUCCGUGUGUCCCACGCAGCAUGGGGAUAUACUUGUCCUAAAAAUUAUUUGUGGUUUAUCUGAAAUCUGAAUUUACCUGGUAUCCUGUACGUUUAUUUACUAAAUCUUGCAAUCCUGUUUCUAUUACCAAAUCUAUUGAGUAUGAUUUCUAUAAAUUUGGUCUCUGGUUUAAGUUAAAUAUCUAUACUUCUAAUUCCUGAAGCUGUUUAAAUGGUUUCAUUAAAUAAAAGUAAUAUGAUCCAAUAUGAUUGUUCUAAUUUCUGAAGACUAUCUACGUCAUUAAAGUUUAACUUUCAAUUUUGCUUGGAACCUCCCUUCUUUCUUACUAAGAGUCUGCCUUUCUCCCCCACCCUAUAUAUGUAUAUAUACAUAUAUAUAUAUAUAUGCAUAUAUAUAUAUAUGUUUGUAAACACGUGCACUCAGAUAUAAUCAUAUUUGGUGACUUUUUCCAUUAAACCCUCACAGAAUUUUACAU
Equus caballus (horse) is the source of this 2601-nucleotide long non-coding RNA. RefSeq lists it as uncharacterized. The record is from RefSeq and is a predicted model, not a curated record. Lineage: Eukaryota; Metazoa; Chordata; Mammalia; Perissodactyla; Equidae.